RNAcentral lists this long non-coding RNA (357 nucleotides) under Trifolium pratense (red clover). Its description in RNAcentral is "long non-coding RNA (TPRA_LNC014359)". The record is from RNAcentral. Lineage: Eukaryota; Viridiplantae; Streptophyta; Magnoliopsida; Fabales; Fabaceae.
UUUCUAACUCUCUGCUUUGUGUUAUUUGCUGGACCUUUGGGGGUUCAGAUAUCCAGAUUGACAGGUUAUAUGUUAGCUUGUCCGAGUAGCGUGGUGAAGCUCCGCUCUGAUUGUGACACGGGGAGAAAAUGGGUUUUGUACAUAUAUAUAUAUAUAAAUUCCUUUAGAAAAUUACUCUGUAAUUGCUUAUGUUUUCAUAUAAGAAUUAUUCUUUGUGAAAAGUAUUGGUUUUGUAUAACUUAUAACACAUCGUGUUGAUGCGGAGGAUUUUGUAUUUUGUGAUAUUCAAACCAGCGCUUUAUAAUCAGAUUUUCAAUUUUUCCGCUGCGUAUUUACGAAAAAGAUUUUAUAAAGGCA